This 464-nucleotide ribosomal RNA is filed under the name uncultured bacterium. RNAcentral's name for it is "SSU rRNA". It matches the Rfam family "Bacterial small subunit ribosomal RNA", at positions 26 to 518 of the family's 1533-position model. The record is from RNAcentral.
AGGACUAACGCUGGCGGCGUGCCUAACACAUGCAAGUCGAACGAGGUAGCAAUACCUAGUGGCAGACGGGUGAGUAACGCGUGGUCAACCUACCUCUUAGUGGGGGAUAACUAGCCGAAAGGUUAGCUAAUACCGCAUACGAUCGUCGCGAGGCAUCUCGUGACGAUGAAAGGAGCAAUUCGCUAAGAGAGGGGACUGCGUCCCAUUAGUUAGUUGGUGGGGUAAUGGCCCACCAAGACUCCGAUGGGUAGCUGGCUUGAGAGAGCGACCAGCCACACUGGAACUGAGACACGGUCCAGACUCCUACGGGAGGCAGCAGUGAGGAAUUUUCCGCAAUGGGCGCAAGCCUGACGGAGCGACGCCGCGUGUGGGAAGAAGGCCUUCGGGUCGUAAACCACUGUCGAAGGGGACGAUAUUGACGGUACCCUUGGAGGAAGCCCGGCUAACUACGCGCCAGCAGCCGC